AACAACAAUUGUUCUAAAAAUAGAAUUAAUAUUAAUUAUUAAAUUCUUAAUAAGAAAAAUAAAACUAGUAACUAAACUAAAUGGCAACAAUUGCCUUCAGGCUAGUCUAUUCCUUAUUUUCAAAAUUAGAAGCUUGUUCUACUUCUUCUCCUUCAAAUCAAUGAGAUAAACCUUGCAGCUCCUUAUUCAAUGUCAUUCCUUCCUGUAAUGGUGACACUUUCCUUUAUCCUUGUUGACACGAGAUAAACCUUGUGAUUUCUUCUUCAAUGUCCUUCCUUCCUAUAAUGGUGACACUUUCCUUUAUUCUUGUUGACACCUCCAAUAGCCUUUAAGGCUUUCUUGGACUUCUGGGCUUUCUUUCUCUUUUUCUUCUUAGACUUACUCUUACCAGUCUUAGAGGGUUCUACCAUUAGAACAACUCCCUUUUGCUCCUUUAUGGUGUCAUCUACAAUCAUUAACAUAUUAAUAAGUUCAGGUAUUGUAGUAUCUAACCUAUUCAUAUGAAAGUUCAUAACAAACUAUGAAUAAUUGUCAAGUAGAGAUUGUAAAAAUAAGUUUAUACUUAAUUCAUGGUCCAUCACAAAAUCAAGACGCCCAUGUUCAAUAUAUCCAAGCAUCUUUAGUCCAUGUGUAUUCAUAGAUGCACCUUCGGCCAUCUUGCAUUGGAAAAAUUCCUUUGAGGUCUCAUAUCUUUCAGUCCUUGACUGCUCAUCCAACAUUUCCUUGAAAUGUAAGAUGAUAGUUUGAGCAUCCGUAUUCUCAUCUUGUCUUUGUAGUCCAUAAGUCAUUUUUUUUAACAUCAUAUAAACAACUUCUUGAGGCUUUUUGUACUCUUGUACUACCUCCUUGGGUGCAUUUGCAGUAGGGAGAUGCAACGGAGAUGUGUCUAGCACAUAAAGCUUCUUUUCUUAUUUGAGAGCAAUUCUCAAAUUGUGAUGCCAAUCAACAAAGUUCGGCCUAGUAAGCUUGUUGGUGUCAAGGAUACUAUGCACAGAUAGAUUGCCACUCAUCUAAAGAAGGAUUUAAAUCUAAGCUUAUACCCGGAAGUUUAAUUUACACAAGUAACUAGUAAAGAUCUUGUAACCAGUUGCUUAUGCUCCCACUAUUUUUCAAUACAAACUAAUAGCCCUCACUAUCAAUUCAGAAUGCUAACAAUUUAGUUAUCCUAGUGGGCUAGAAUUCCAUCUAUUUUAAUAUGCCUUUGAGUGUCCCAAUAAACCAUAUUAAAAUAAAUUAGGUAGACAACUAUUUAUCAAUUGUAUCUCUAUACAAUUUCUAGAUCAAUUAGGCGUCAAUGACAUUUGUCUAAACAUAUUUUAUGAUGUUCCAAACAUCAAAUAUAUUUCACCUAAUUCAUGCCUCUAUCUUCGUAUAAACAUGAGUGACUCAUCUGAUUUAUAUAAGAUAGUUAAGUAAGACCCAUCAAUUAAAAUAGAGAACAUGCCCAGGUAAUAGGCAACCUUGAGUGACUCAACAAAUUGACCUAUGAACAAGGCUCUCGUUCCUAUUUUAAUUAUGGAAGGCAAUUUAAUCAUGUUCUUAACAUGUGACUUAAUAUUGAAUGAGAGAUUUGUUAUCAAAUGGUGAUUAAGAUCACAUGCUUUGGCAUGAACAUACAAAUAUCGAAUAUAAGGGUUUCAUGCUUUGGCAUGAUCAUACAUAUAUCAUACAUCAUAUAUAUAAUAUAAGGUAAGCAUGCCAAACUACUAUGGAUGAUUAUGGACUUUCUAAACUAGUUAUCUCGAACCAUCAAGGAUAAAUAGAUGGUCAAAACCUAGAUAUUGCCUUCAUGAUCUCCGAGUCUUGAAGCAAUAUCCCUUUCAUCUCCAUCUUAUGCCAUAUCUUCAUCCAAAUUACAAAAUAAAAUUCUAUCUAACUAAUCUAAAACUAUAUAACUAUUAUAUAAGAUUUAGAGAAACCUUGAGUUGCAUUCAAGGGGAGUUACAUGGGAAGAAUUUUACAAUCUCGAGAAAAUCAAAGAAAGGCAAAGAACGCAACUCUUAUUUCAAAAAUACCAAAUUUAAAGCAUUCAACACAAUAAUAUUAGUCUUUAUAGUCCAUAACCAUCCAUCAUAUGCCAAAUAUAAUCAUAUUAUAUAAAGCAUAUAAAAAAAUAAGAUAGCAUAAUUCAAGUUAUUUGAUCAUUGCAUGCAAUUAGGAUUAAAUGGGAUAUUGAGAAUUAUAAUAAUUAAAUCAUAUUCAAAAAUAAAAUUCUCCUUAUUUUAGUGUAAUUUUCGGCCAAAACAAAAAUUAGGACAUAAAGCCCAUCUUAGUCAUACUAGAUACCAAGAUUUAAUCUUAGUUGAAGAAAGUCGUAGAGAAUUAAAAUUAAUUAAAUCAGAUUUAAUUAAUAACUAAUUCCCUUUAAAAUAUCCUUAAAUUUAGAUUUUAUGUCCUUUUAAGAUACAAAGUCAAACAUUAAGACAUAAAGUCAAACUUAUGUCUUAAUUAAGACAACAACCUAAUCACACUAGAAUACUAAGAUAUAAUUCUUAUAAUGACAUAAACUAAUGAGAAUUUAAAUUAAUUAAAUCAAAUUUAAAAAUAGAAAUUCCCUUAUAAUUUAUGUAAUUUUCAGCCAUGUCUAGAAUUUAGGACAAGAGUCAAACUCUUGUGUUAAUUUAGACAACUUCUUAGUCCAACUAGAAUUCUAAAAUUAUAGGUCUUUCUCCUAAAGGAUUAAUAGUACUUAUAUUAAUUAAAACAACCUUUUAAUUAAUCUUCUAAUUAUAUUAGAACAAGUAAUUAUAAUCUUAAGACAACUAGAAUAUGUCUUAAGACAAGAAGUCACAUGCCAACUAGGAUACUUCAUCUAGAAAUCCCUAUAAACAAGGACACUCCUUAUUUAACAAGAUUUAAAGAUCUAACAAGGCUAAUUAAUCAUAUUGAUUCAAUAAUUAAUUGAGUUCAUCAAGAUUCAUCAAGAUCUAUCAUCAAGAAAAUCAUAUUUUCUAUCAAACAAUUCAAGAUAAUCAAGAUUCAUGUGACAAUCAUGGAGAAAUAAGGCAACUAUGGAAGGAACGUGAUCAAGAUUUAUAUUAACCAUCAAGAUUCUUUAAGAACUUAUCUCAUGCAUGAUCUACAUAUGAUUUUCUUCCUCAAAAGGCUUGCCAUUAGAUCAAGAAUCACACAUGUGCUGAAUUCCAACAAGCAACCCAUACUAUGCACAUAACUCAUCAAAUCAAAACUUGAUUUGUAUGUUGUGUGCAUAUGUGGUGUUCAUGUAGAUAAAACCUUAAACUUCCAGAAAUCUAAAAGUUCACUAUUCAUCUUCUAAAUCACAUUAAUUACUGUCUAAAAUCAAAUCAAAUCAAAAUCCAUGCACAUGCACAUUGCCAAACCCUUAGGAUGUGUAGUAUGUGCAUAGUUUUUCUUUGAUAAUCAAGAAUCUAAUUCUCAAUUAUUUUAAACGAAUUUUAAACAUAAAUUAUUCAAGAAACAUUCUUAUAACAAUUACCCAUGAAUUUAUUUCAAUUAAUUUGCGAAUCAAAAUUUGAUUAUAGAUUAGGUGUUGUUGAUCGCAUCAAAGAUAUCUAUAUGCAUGGUAUAGAUUUAGAUCGCCCAACCCUUAAUCAUACGAGAUCCAAAAAUUCUAAAAACUUCCAGAUAAUAAGUUCUAUCCCUUAGGGUUCAUAUGCAACAAGAAUCACCUGAAAAUUUAAAUUAUAGCUAUGGCAACAAAUGAAAUCUUUAAAAUAGCCCAGAAAUUCUAAAUUCAUAUGGUUAUGAUCAAUUAACAAUUAUGCAACCAUUAUGACUAAAUUAAUCAAUGGAGGCUAUGAUACCAUUGUUGGAAAUUGAUAUUAAAACAUAAGAGAAUACACAAUGGAAGAAAUUAAAAACUUUUCACAAUUUCCAACAUGGAUCUUAUUGAUUAAGAUAGUCAUAACACACAAAACAAGCAAAAGACGGAGAAGGCUUACAAAGGGAGUUUUCAAUCAAUCCAAUGAGUGCUUCUUACUUUGUUGAUUCUUGAUUCCUAAAGGAUGAUUUAUGCAAUUUAAAGCUACUCAAGGAACUAGCCACUUUUAGUGAUCCACACAAGGUUCUAAGGAAAGAUCUCACUAAACCACUUUUAGGAGAUUAAGAAGAGAUGUUGGAGAUUGAAUGCUAGUUCCAAGCAAGGGGGAUGAAUCAAUUAAUCUUAUUAAUUGAUUCCCCUAGGGUAUGUAUCUCAAAGAAUCUUUUUCUUUUUUAGAUGUGCAGCCAUCCUUCA
This 4216-nucleotide long non-coding RNA is filed under the name Ricinus communis (castor bean). RNAcentral's name for it is "long non-coding RNA (RCOM_LNC001322)". The record is from RNAcentral. Lineage: Eukaryota; Viridiplantae; Streptophyta; Magnoliopsida; Malpighiales; Euphorbiaceae.